This is a long non-coding RNA of Dendronephthya gigantea, 650 nucleotides long. RefSeq lists it as uncharacterized. The transcript has 4 exons. Lineage: Eukaryota; Metazoa; Cnidaria; Anthozoa; Malacalcyonacea; Nephtheidae. The record is from RefSeq and is a predicted model, not a curated record.
GAAUUGGAAACGGGUUUGAAAGAUGUCCACACAGGAAUAUUAGAUUCUGAACAUGUUGAGAAUAUUGUUGAGCUGGUUCUUAUCGACAGAGAAGGAGAGUUCAACAUCAAGCAAUUCUCUGCAGUUGCCGCUUUCUCUGAGAGGAUCACGUGCAAGGAUCAGCUACCGGUGGAAUUGCUGAAUAGUUUUGAUGGGCAGAAAGAGAUCAUCGAAUCUGCAGACUUUUUUGCUCUGAGCUGGAAACUUGAUGGAAUUAAGGUGAAUCCUGAUGUAAAGAAGAUAUUAGACUCUUUAUAGGAUGAAUACUGGCCAAGAGAAAGGUUUCAUCAUUGAAAAAUCAUUUUUGCACUGCAAAUUGCCGUCGAGAUUAUGGCUUUCAAAAUAUUUACACCAAAUGCAUCGAAUGAGGUAAGGACUCCUGUCGCCAUAGCCUGGAAACAAGUGGCUAUGGCCUACUUCGAGCUGUGACAAUGACCAGCGGCAUAUAUUGUCAACAAAAGGGUUCGCGUGGGCAGACGAGCCAUGCACCCACCCCCCUUUUGAAAAGACUUCCGCGUUUUCAAUAUCUAUCAGCACGUUUCAUGAAAAGCAAAGGGGCUGUUUACAUGAGCCCAGUUACCCGAGAUUCAACGAAGCGUGAGAGGACUUUG